AUAUCAAUAAGCGGAGGAAAAGAAACCAACAGGGAUUGCCCUAGUAACGGCGAGUGAAGCGGCAACAGCUCAAAUUUGAAAUCUGGCUCUCGGGCCCGAGUUGUAAUUUGUAGAGGAUGACUUUGAUGCGGUGCCUUCCGAGUUCCCUGGAACGGGACGCCAUAGAGGGUGAGAGCCCCGUCUGGUUGGAUGCCAAAUCUCUGUAAGUCUCCUUCGACGAGUCGAGUAGUUUGGGAAUGCUGCUCUAAAUGGGAGGUAUAUGUCUUCUAAAGCUAAAUACCGGCCAGAGACCGAUAGCGCACAAGUAGAGUGAUCGAAAGAUGAAAAGCACUUUGAAAAGAGAGUUAAAAAGUACGUGAAAUUGUUGAAAGGGAAGCGUUUAUGACCAGACUUGGGCUUGGUUAAUCAUCUGGGGUUCUCCCCAGUGCACUUUUCCAGUUCAGGCCAGCAUCAGUUUUCGCCGGGGGAUAAAGACUUCGGGAAUGUGGCUCCUCUCGGGGAGUGUUAUAGCCCGUUGUGUAAUACCCUGGCGGGGACUGAGGUUCGCGCUUCUGCAAGGAUGCUGGCGUAAUGGUCAUCAACGA
Molecule: ribosomal RNA, 584 nt
Filed under: uncultured fungus
Lineage: Eukaryota; Fungi
Description: eukaryotic LSU rRNA
Rfam family: Eukaryotic large subunit ribosomal RNA
Source: RNAcentral